AGAGACAGCAGCCGCCACGGUAAAACGUAGGUGGCAAGCGUUGUCCGGAAUUAUUGGGCGUAAAGGGCUCGCAGGCGGUUUCUUAAGUCUGAUGUGAAAGCCCCCGGCUCAACCGGGGAGGGUCAUUGGAAACUGGGAAACUUGAGUGCAGAAGAGGAGAGUGGAAUUCCACGUGUAGCGGUGAAAUGCGUGGAGAUGUGGAGGAACACCAGUGGCGAAGGCGACUCUCUGGUCUGUAACUGACGCUGAGGAGCGAAAGCGUGGGGAGCGAACAGGAUUAGAUACCCGAGUAGUCCCUGUCUCUUAUAA
RNAcentral lists this ribosomal RNA (309 nucleotides) under uncultured bacterium. RNAcentral's name for it is "partial 16S ribosomal RNA". It matches the Rfam family "Bacterial small subunit ribosomal RNA", at positions 504 to 809 of the family's 1533-position model. The record is from RNAcentral.